Molecule: long non-coding RNA, 634 nt
Filed under: Coffea arabica (coffee)
Lineage: Eukaryota; Viridiplantae; Streptophyta; Magnoliopsida; Gentianales; Rubiaceae
Description: long non-coding RNA (CARA_LNC008180)
Source: RNAcentral
AAUAGUUGCUUAUUUUGAUCCAACGAUUUGUCUGGCAGGCUAGCUACUUGACUUAAGCCAACUAGUAAGAUGACAACUUUAGAAGAAAUACGUAAGGAAAUGGACAUCCUCCGAAAUGAGGUAGAAUUUCAAAGGAAAUUGGCUGACUACUGGGAAGGACGAUGGAAACAAGAAUAUGCCGAGAAAAUUGAGCUACUACGCCAGAACGUAGAACCAGAGAAGAAACAUAAGAAAAAUCCCCGAAAUGUCCAGGCCGCCACCUCCCAUACAAAAUGUGGGUAUUGUAGAAAAACCGGCCAUACUAAGGACGAAUGCUGGAAAAAGGGAGGAAAGUGCUUGGGGUGCGGUAGUACCACGCACAAGAUUUCGGAUUGUGCUAGAGCACUUAAAAAGAGAAAGCACUCAGCAGCUAACUAAGUCCGCUGCAAAGCGACCAAGUACCAGAUGGAGAUAAUUCUAGCUAAUGGCCAUGAAAGGAAUCCUAGCAGUGAAUGUUUCGCAAAUCAAGAGAGUUUGACCUCACUCGAGAAUAAAGGUUAUAGUUACCCUAAACUAGAAUAGCACUUUGGAAGUUGUAAUCUUUCGCUAUGAAUUAUAUGUACGCUAUGAAUAUCCUUUAUUUCAAUUACUCUGC